GACGAACGCUGGCGGCGUGCUUAACACAUGCAAGUCGAACGGUAAGGCCCCUUCGGGGGUACACGAGUGGCGAACGGGUGAGUAACACGUGGGUAAUCUGCCCUGCACUUCGGGAUAAGCCUGGGAAACUGGGUCUAAUACCGGAUAUGAGCUCCUGCCGCAUGGUGGGGGUUGGAAAGUUUUUCGGUGCAGGAUGAGUCCGCGGCCUAUCAGCUUGUUGGUGGGGUAAUGGCCUACCAAGGCGACGACGGGUAGCCGGCCUGAGAGGGUGAUCGGCCACACUGGGACUGAGACACGGCCCAGACUCCUACGGGAGGCAGCAGUGGGGAAUAUUGCACAAUGGGCGCAAGCCUGAACCAGCCAUCCCGCGUGAAGGAAGAAUGCGCUACGCGUUGUAAACUUCUUUUCCAGGGGGAGAAUAAUCCUGUCGUGACAGGACUUGACGGUACUCUGGGAAUAAGCAUCGGCUAACUCCGUG
Molecule: ribosomal RNA, 478 nt
Filed under: uncultured bacterium
Lineage: Bacteria
Description: bacterial SSU rRNA
Rfam family: Bacterial small subunit ribosomal RNA
Source: RNAcentral